AGGGUUAGUCGGGGACUAAGGCAAACCCGAAAGGGGUAGUCGAUGUAAAAUCGGUUAAUAUUCCGAUACCGGCUAUAGUUUGUUAUAACAUGACGAGGGUAUAAAGGUGCUGCGUACAGACGGUAUGUACGUUGAAGGCGUAAGCUGAUAGUACUGUAAACCUCCGGGGGCACAGAUAAUGCACCGUGAACCUUCCAAGAAAAGUGUUAUAGCGUUAGGCUAUAGGCGCCCGUACCGCAAACCGACACAGGUAGUCAAGGAGAGAAUCCUAAGGUGCUCGAGUGAUUCAUGGCUAAGGAACUAGGCAAAUUUACCCUGUAACUUCGGGAGAAGGGGUGCUUCCCUCGUAAGAGGAAGCCGCAGUGAAAAGGCCCAAACGACUGUUUAGCAAAAACACAGGGCUGUGCGAACAUGAAAGAGGAAGUAUAAAGCCUGACACCUGCCCGGUGCUGGAAGGUUAAGGGGGGGAGUUAGCUUCGGCGAAGCUCUGAACUGAAGCCCCAGUAAACGGCGGCCGUAACAAUAACGGUCCUAAGGUAGCGAAAUUCCUUGUCGGGUAAGUUCCGACCUGCACGAAUGGUGCAACGAUUUGGGCACUGUCUCAGCCAUGAGCUCGGUGAAAUUGUAGUAUCGGUGAAGAUGCCGAUUACCCGCAGCGGGACGGAAAGACCCCGUGAACCUUUACUAUAGCUUCGCAUUGACUUCGGAUAUGUAAUGUGUAGGAUAGGUGGGAGACUUUGAAGCAGCGUCGCUAGGCGUUGUGGAGUCAUCCUUGAAAUACCACCCUUUGCUUAUCUAGAGCCUAACUCAGUUGAGGACAGUGCGUGGUGGGUAGUUUGACUGGGGUGGUCGCCUCCAAAAGAGUAACGGAGGCUUCUAAAGGUUCCCUCAGCACGCUUGGUAACCGUGCGUAGAGUGCAAUGGCAUAAGGGAGCUUGACUGAGAGACAUACAGGUCGAUCAGGUACGAAAGUAGGACAUAGUGAUCCGGUGGUUCCGUAUGGAAGGGCCAUCGCUCAAAGGAUAAAAGGUACUCCGGGGAUAACAGGCUGAUCUCCCCCAAGAGCUCACAUCGACGGGGAGGUUUGGCACCUCGAUGUCGGCUCGUCACAUCCUGGGGCUGGAGAAGGUCCCAAGGGUUGGGCUGUUCGCCCAUUAAAGUGGCACGCGAGCUGGGUUCAGAACGUCGUGAGACAGUUCGGUCCCUAUCUGCUGUGGGCGUAAGAAGUUUGAGGAGCUCUGACCUUAGUACGAGAGGACCGCGUUGGACAGAC
RNAcentral lists this ribosomal RNA (1273 nucleotides) under Lates calcarifer (barramundi perch). RNAcentral's name for it is "bacterial LSU rRNA". It matches the Rfam family "Bacterial large subunit ribosomal RNA", at positions 1376 to 2706 of the family's 2925-position model. Lineage: Eukaryota; Metazoa; Chordata; Actinopteri; Centropomidae. The record is from RNAcentral.